GCAAGGACCUCUCGCUAUGGGAGCGGCCGAUGUCCGAUUAGCUUGUUGGUGGGGUAAUGGCUUACCAAGGCGACGAUCGGUAGCUGGUCUGAGAGGAUGAUCAGCCACACUGGGACUGAGACACGGCCCAGACUCCUACGGGAGGCAGCAGUGGGGAAUUUUGGACAAUGGGGCAACCCUGAUCCAGCCAUGCCGCGUGCGGGAAGAAGGCCUUCGGGUUGUAAACCGCUUUUAGUCGGGAAGAAAAGGCCUGGGCGAAUACCCUGGGUUUUUGACGGUACCGGCGGAAUAAGCACCGGCUAACUACGUG
RNAcentral lists this ribosomal RNA (310 nucleotides) under uncultured bacterium. RNAcentral describes it as "bacterial SSU rRNA". It matches the Rfam family "Bacterial small subunit ribosomal RNA", at positions 201 to 507 of the family's 1533-position model. The record is from RNAcentral.